Ceratitis capitata (Mediterranean fruit fly) is the source of this 461-nucleotide long non-coding RNA. RefSeq lists it as uncharacterized. Lineage: Eukaryota; Metazoa; Arthropoda; Insecta; Diptera; Tephritidae. The record is from RefSeq and is a predicted model, not a curated record. The transcript has 3 exons.
CUUUCAAUUUUUCUCGCCUUGCUUGCUAGACAUUUUUGUUGCGUAUGACAUUUCCCCCCCUUUCUAUUCAUUUUGCUUUCUCAUUUCGGUGUCAAAACGAGCGGGUAGACAAAUAGAGUUCGAUUUUAAUGGUUACUGGCUUCGUGGGUUCAUACACAAUCUAUAUUAACAAGCAUUUUUGGAAAUCCAAAAAACUAAGGUCUGAUAGUAGCAUCGCUAUCACUGGUUAUAUAUUGGUUUUCAUAGCCACAAUGGCAAGAUUUAUACAAAUUUACAGGAUAGACUUUAAACAAUUCCAUUUUUUGAGAAUGGCACAUGAAAAGAGGCUUAGAGGCAUGCAAGAAUGUAAACAGCAAAAUGAGGGAAGAAAACCCAAAAAAGUUAAAGUGAAGUUCGUUCCCCAACAAAAUCAUUAAAGAUUUAAAUAACUAAAUUAAAUACGAUAAUGAAUUUUUUACACU